AGUGUUUUUGCUGACGUGUCGGACUCUCGGCUCUUGUUGAGCCCUUGAUUUUGCGUAAUUACUUAAAUACCCUCUAUUAAAUUAAUUCGAAUAUUAAUUAAAAUUAAAAAAAAUAACUGACCAUAAAAUAUAAAAAUUCGAUAUAUUUUACAUUUUUAAAAAUAGUAAUAUUCUUAAACACGAAAAAAUGAAAAAAAUAAAUAAAUUUGGAUCAAAUGUAGUUUACAUACCUUUUUAUGACGGUUUAUCGUUCGACCAAGAACAUCCAAUGACCACCAAGAACUUGUUAUCCUACCAUAAAACAUACAUUCAUAGCAAUAACAGAAAUUUGGCAAUUUAAUGAUAGAAAACCACCUUUUGAUCUGUUGAAUCAUCAUAGAAAACCAUCAUAUUGGCCAUCCUUUGUCUUUAAACCAUCAUAUUGAUAUGAUCUUGCAUCCUACAAUUGCAACCAAUCAAACAAACUAUUCUUUUAAAUUACCUUAGAUAAUAAAGAGACUAAUGAGUUUCGUGGGAAAGAUUUUCAGGAUAUUCGUUUUGGAGCAUGCACAAAAUCGACGGGUAUAUUAAUCUCCACCAAUCUAAUCAUGGUCGUGAGUCACAUACAAUUACGUCGGAGAAAGGAUUGGUCGUGUCUUCUUCUUUUCUCUUCCUUUUCCGUGUUUUUUUAUCCUUUUUGGUUCUUUUUGUUUUUUUUUCAACAAAAGAUGUGUCUCAUAAUUAAUCGUUUAAUUAUAUUUUUGAUAUAUUAAUGAUAAAUUUAUGUUGUGAUAAUUACGAGCCAAUUGUUUUUAAAAGUAAAAUUUACUUUUCUAAAAUAUAUAGAUAUUGCCGAUAAUAUCAAAACAACUAUCAUAUAUUCUUUAAAUUCACAAAUCUGAUAAAAUAAAAGCAACUUUCUUUUAUAUUUUAUACCGAUAAUGAUGGUGUAGCUAAAAAAAUGUCAAAUAUAAUUGUAAAUCUAAAAAAAAUUAUGUUAUUGUUCCAUUUUUUAACAAAUAAAAUAAGGAAUAUUUUUUUAUAAUUAAUAUCCAUAGUAAUUAUUAAUUGUUUUUAGGAAUAUUAAUUGUUUUAUAAAGAUUUGAUCUAACACAAUAUAUAAAUCUUCCUUUCUUGUUGUUGUAAUUAUCUUCAAAAAUUAAAAAAUUUUGAUCGUACACCGCCUUUCAGUUUAAUAUAAAUACCUUCUCUAGGUUUCACUUUCAAAUCAUAACUAACCCCAUUUUUUUUGCUUUCUAUUUUUUUUUUUUGCGUUUUAUUUUAUUUGGCUUUACACAUAUGAAUUCAUGGUGUUUAUGUAUGGUUAUAGGUUACGGAUGCAACGUCGUUAAACAAUUCAAGGACAAUUAAAUUGCUGAUUCAAUCGAACAUAUGGUGAGUUUUUCACUUUAGUACUUUCAUGUUUAAUAUUUAAAUUAUGCUUGGAUGUAUUGAGAAAUCUAUAAGCUUUCCCAUAAUAUUUUGCGAGCAGCUUAGAUUUCAUAUUCUUCACUAAAAAAAAAAAAGCUUUGAUUUUGUAUUUACCAUAUUCUUCACUAAAAAAAAAGAAGCUUUGAUUUUGUAUUUACAUAAUUUGAUAUCAGUUUGAUUAUUGCUUCCAUCAUGAUGCAAAUUACGGCCUCUCAACAACCCUAAUAGACUAUAAUCGUUGGGAACUCUUCUUUUUCUCUUGCUUCUCUCUGAUUAUCUUUCACCAGGAGUCUCAAUUAUUAUUAUUUCUUUGUAUUGAUGCGAUCAGAAGUUUUAUCUCUUUUUUAAAUACUGAUCUCUUUGUGGAUUUUUCAUUUAGGUAUGAACAUGUUCGUUUCACGGGGUGUUUCGGUGUCUUGCCUUAAAUCAAGGCGUGUAAAAACGUAAAGCUUGUUUUUAUCUAUCUAUUUUUAUUGUCACGUCUUUAUCCAUCUAUGUAACGCUUAAUCAUCAAUUAUUAUAUUAAACUUCAAUAAAGGCAACAACAUCUUGGUUGGUUUGUUUUAUCUGAUUAGUGUACCAAAUUCAAUUGGAACUAUAUCAGAUCCAUGAAAUUAUUGAUUAUUGAUACAUGCAGGUUAUGUGUGAUCCUUAUACACCAGCUGGCGUUCCAUUUCCAACCAACAAGAGGCACAACGCUGCUAAAAUUUUCAGACACCCAUCGUUGCCUCCGAGGAGCCUCUAUAUAUAACAAUAUUUGAGAAGUGUUUUUGCUGACGUGUCGGACUCUCGGCUCUUGUUGAGCCCUUGAUUUUGCGUAAUUACUUAAAUACCCUCUAUUAAAUUAAUUCGAAUAUUAAUUAAAAUUAAAAAAAUAACUGACCCUAAAAUAUAAAAAUUCGAUAUAUUUUACAUUUUUAAAAAUAGUAAUAUUCUUAAACACGAAAAAAUGAAAAAAAUAAAUAAAUUUGGAUCAAAUGUAGUUUACAUACCUUUUUACGACGGUUUAUUGUUCGACCAAGAACAUCCAAUGACCACUAAGAACUUGUUAUCCUACCAUAAAACAUAUAUUCAUAGCAAUAACAGAAAUUUGGCAAUUUAAUGAUAGAAAACCACCUUUUGAUCUGUUGAAUCAUCAUAGAAAACCAUCAUAUUGGCCAUCCUUUGUCUUUAAACCAUCAUAUUGAUAUGAUCUUGCAUCCUACAAUUGCAACCAAUCAAACAAACUAUUCUUUUAAAUUACCUUAGAUAAUAAAGAGACUAAUGAGUCUCGUGGGAAAGAUUUUCAGGAUAUUCGUUUUGGAGCAUGCACAAAAUCGACGGGUAUAUUAAUCUCCACCAAUCUAAUCAUGGUCGUGAGUCACAUACAAUUACGUCGGAGAAAGGAUUGGUCGUGUCUUCUUCUUUUCUCUUCCUUUUCCGUGUUUUUUUUUUAUCCUUUUUGGUUCUUUUUGUUUUUUUUUUCAACAAAAG
Molecule: long non-coding RNA, 2883 nt
Filed under: Arabidopsis lyrata
Lineage: Eukaryota; Viridiplantae; Streptophyta; Magnoliopsida; Brassicales; Brassicaceae
Description: long non-coding RNA (ALYR_LNC003276)
Source: RNAcentral